GAUGAACGCUGGCGGCGUGCCUAAUACAUGCAAGUAGAACGCUGAAGGAAGGAGCUUGCUCUUUCCGGAUGAGUUGCGAACGGGUGAGUAACGCGUAGGUAACCUGCCUGGUAGCGGGGGAUAACUAUUGGAAACGAUAGCUAAUACCGCAUAACAGUAGAUGUUGCAUGAUAUCUACUUAAAAGGUGCAAUUGCACCACUACCAGAUGGACCUGCGUUGUAUUAGCUAGUUGGUGAGGUAACGGCUCACCAAGGCGACGAUACAUAGCCGACCUGAGAGGGUGAUCGGCCACACUGGGACUGAGACACGGCCCAGACUCCUACGGGAGGCAGCAGUAGGGAAUCUUCGGCAAUGGACGGAAGUCUGACCGAGCAACGCCGCGUGAGUGAAGAAGGUUUUCGGAUCGUAAAGCUCUGUUGUAAGAGAAGAACGGGUGUGAGAGUGGAAAGUUCACACUGUGACGGUAUCUUACCAGAAAGGGACGGCUAACUACGUG
RNAcentral lists this ribosomal RNA (497 nucleotides) under uncultured bacterium. RNAcentral describes it as "partial 16S ribosomal RNA". It matches the Rfam family "Bacterial small subunit ribosomal RNA", at positions 28 to 507 of the family's 1533-position model. The record is from RNAcentral.